This 482-nucleotide ribosomal RNA is filed under the name uncultured bacterium. RNAcentral's name for it is "partial 16S ribosomal RNA". It matches the Rfam family "Bacterial small subunit ribosomal RNA", at positions 30 to 507 of the family's 1533-position model. The record is from RNAcentral.
CUUGCACGCUGGCGGCAUGCCUUACACAUGCAAGUCGAACGGUAACAGGUCUUCGGAUGCUGACGAGUGGCGAACGGGUGAGUAAUACAUCGGAACGUGCCCGAUCGUGGGGGAUAACGGAGCGAAAGCUUUGCUAAUACCGCAUACGAUCUACGGAUGAAAGCAGGGGACCGCAAGGCCUUGCGCGGACGGAGCGGCCGAUGGCAGAUUCGGUAGUUGGUGGGAUAAAAGCUUACCAAUCCGACGAUCUGUAGCGGGUCUGAGAGGACGACCAGCCACACUGGGACUGAGCCACGGCCCAGACUCCUACGGGAGGCAGCAGUGGGGAAUUUUGGACAAUGGGCGAAAGCCUGAUCCAGCCAUGCCGCGUGCAGGAUGAAGGCCUUCGGGUUGUAAACUGCUUUUGUACGGAACGAAAAGACUCUUUCUAAUAAAGAGGGUACAUGACGGUACCGGAAGAAUAAGCACCGGCUAACUACGUG